This 254-nucleotide ribosomal RNA is filed under the name uncultured bacterium. RNAcentral describes it as "partial 16S ribosomal RNA". It matches the Rfam family "Bacterial small subunit ribosomal RNA", at positions 524 to 776 of the family's 1533-position model. The record is from RNAcentral.
UACAGGGGGUGCAAACGUUGCUCGGAAUCACUGGGCGUAAAGCGCACGCAGGCGGCUUGAUAAGUCAGGGGUGAAAUCCCGGAGCUCAACUUCGGAAUUGCCUUUGAUACUGUCUGUCUUCGAGUUCGGGAGAGGUUGGCGGAAUUCCUAGUGUAGAGGUGAAAUGCGUAGAUAUCUGGAGGAACACCGGUGGCGAAGGCGGCGUUCUGGACUGCAACGGACGCUCAGGCACGAAAGCGUGGGGAGCAAACAGG